GUUGUAUAGUUAAGUGACUAAGCGUACAAGGUGGAUGCCUUGGCAAUCAGAGGCGAAGAAGGACGUGCUAAUCUGCGAAAAGCUUGGAUGAGUCGAUAAGAGGCGUUUAAUCCAAGAUAUCCGAAUGGGGAAACCCAGUAGAUGAAGAAUCUACUAUCAACAAGUGAAUUCAUAGCUUGUUGAGGCAAACCGGGAGAACUGAAACAUCUAAGUACCCCGAGGAAAAGAAAUCAACCGAGAUUUCGUCAGUAGCGGCGAGCGAAAGCGAAAGAGCCAGUAAGUGAUAGCAGUAUAGUGAGGAGAAUGUGUUGGGAA
This 315-nucleotide ribosomal RNA is filed under the name Haemophilus influenzae. RNAcentral's name for it is "bacterial LSU rRNA". It matches the Rfam family "Bacterial large subunit ribosomal RNA", at positions 1 to 331 of the family's 2925-position model. The record is from RNAcentral. Lineage: Bacteria; Pseudomonadati; Pseudomonadota; Gammaproteobacteria; Pasteurellales; Pasteurellaceae.